CACUAAACAAUAGAAAAUCUGCUAAACUGAAUGUUGUUACACCAGAUUUCUACCUUAAUAACUAGCAUGAAUUAAGUACUACAAAAAUGUUGUACAAAAAAAUAAAUAAAUGUUUUUCGCCAUUGGUAGUAAAAUAAAUGCAUUUAUUGUUUUUGAUGGAUAAUUUUCUACUGAUAUGCAUUUGAGGAACUUGCUACUUUACUCAUCAUAUGCUUAGUAUGUGAUAUUUACAUAAAC
Molecule: non-coding RNA, 237 nt
Organism: Pelobates cultripes (western spadefoot toad)
Lineage: Eukaryota; Metazoa; Chordata; Amphibia; Anura; Pelobatidae
Source: the annotation of a GenBank genome assembly